This is a long non-coding RNA of Fopius arisanus, 937 nucleotides long. RefSeq lists it as uncharacterized. NCBI's taxonomy places the organism in Eukaryota, Metazoa, Arthropoda, Insecta, Hymenoptera, Braconidae. The transcript is spliced from 3 exons. The record is from RefSeq and is a predicted model, not a curated record.
UUUUUGAAACACUUGGUGAUACUGCGGUUAAAUCCACAGGAUUGAGACCAAAUGUUGGAAGGCCUUUGUGAGAUAUUUUGUUUUGAUCAAAUUUGGAUUUUUUUUUUUUUAUUUUGUGAAAGUUAUUUAGGCAAGGGGAUUCCACUGUGACGGAAUCAUUGUUCCCGAUGGGACACUUGUAUUGCCGCAACGCGCACUGUACUAUCGGUACACCGCGCACGCUCUCCAAACGGUGGGGUUUUUCUCGUGGACGUGCAUGAAGAAUUCCAGGGGGGGUAUCACCAACUAUGGUAGUAUAUUCUGGUGGAAGGUGGGGAGUUUGAAAGGGAACUCGCAAGAGUGGCGUCAUCUGAAGGACGCCUGUUGAUGCCCCAGGGUGCAGUGAUAAGGGGAUAUUACCGAUACCGACAACGGUUUCGAGGAAAUCAUAUUUUACCUCCCGUCCUCAUAAUGUCAAGUGGAUUUUCACGAGACAAAAAAAAUUGACAAUUCAAUACCAAUGAUUUGUUUUGGUUUUGAUCGCAUUGCUCAAGGUCAACACCCUCAGGGUGCCGAUAACUCGAAGUGCUCAGCAUUUCUGCAGCGAAGAGGCAAAAAAUAAUCCCCGACAUGAAUGUAUUUUUGCUGUGCUCCAGGACGACGAUCUCAUUUUAUUUAUAGAGAAUAACAUAUGCGUUAAAGUCUGUCAGAGAACGGAUGGAAAGAGUAAAAGUUAUACUUGAAGGGUCGAAAUACUCGAUUAAAUGAGUCUGGUAGAAACAGAGAUACAAAUACGAGUCAAGGGUUAUAACUGUCUGAAUGCCAGUACCAGAAGAGGGAGAGACACGUGAUGACACAUUUGGAAACAAAGGACUUUUGCUCAAUCUCGUUGGACUCGACAUGCUCAAGAAAUUAUUCAACUCUCACAGAACACUCAACUACCACUAAAACACUCGGC